AGAGUUUGAUCUUGGCUCAGAACGAACGCUGGCGGCGUGCUUAACACAUGCAAGUCGAACGUGAAAGGCUUCGGCCGAGUAAAGUGACGCACGGGUGAGUAACGCGUGGGUAAUCUGCCCUCGGGCGGGGGAUAACGUUCCGAAAGGAGCGCUAAUACCGCAUGAGACCACGGUCUUUCGGGACAGUGGGAAAAGGUGGGUCGCAAGGCCUGCCACCUGAGGAUGAGCCCGCGUACCAUUAGGUAGUUGGAGGGGUAAUGGCCCACCAAGCCUGAGAUGGUUAGCUGGUCUGAGAGGACGAUCAGCCACACUGGGACUGAGACACGGCCCAGACUCCUACGGGAGGCAGCAGUGGGGAAUAUUGCGCAAUGGGGGAAACCCUGACGCAGCAACGCCGCGUGUGUGAAGAAGGCCUUCGGGUCGUAAAGCACUGUUGGGAGGAACGAGCCGCUCAUGUGACCCAUGAGCCCGACGGUACCUCCUGAGGAAGCACCGGCUAACUCCGUGCCAGCAGCCGCGGUAAUACGGAGGGUGCAAGCGUUGUUCGGAAUUAUUGGGCGUAAAGCGCGCGCAGGCGGCUUUUUAAGUCUGAUGUGAAAACCCUCGGCUCAACCGAGGACGUGCAUUGGAUACUGGAAGGCUUGAGUCUCGGAGAGGAAAGCGGAAUUCCCAGUGUAGAGGUGAAAUUCGUAGAUAUUGGGAGGAACACCGGUGGCGAAGGCGGCUUUCUGGACGAUGACUGACGCUGAGGCGCGAAAGCGUGGGUAGCAAACAGGAUUAGAUACCCUGGUAGUCC
RNAcentral lists this ribosomal RNA (796 nucleotides) under uncultured bacterium. RNAcentral's name for it is "bacterial SSU rRNA". It matches the Rfam family "Bacterial small subunit ribosomal RNA", at positions 8 to 796 of the family's 1533-position model. The record is from RNAcentral.